This 14516-nucleotide long non-coding RNA is filed under the name Xyrichtys novacula (pearly razorfish). Lineage: Eukaryota; Metazoa; Chordata; Actinopteri; Labriformes; Labridae. The record is from RNAcentral.
UGGGUCUUUUCAGCUGUGCUGUUUUCAGUUGACCCAAUAACAACAGCAAGUGGCUAAAACUGCUGCUGGGCAUUUUUGAGCAAGAAGUUGGAGCAUCGUAUAGCGUUGUACUUUCUGUCAAGCAAAUUCAGUAAUCUGUACGAUUAAGUAAUGAGGUAAGUAAUUCUAGUGGACGACCUGUGCAUGUUUAAACAUAAUGAAUAACACUUUUCUUUGGGAUGGAGAGUCCUCCAUACAUCAAUGAAAUGUAUAUGUCUGCAAUCAUUAAUGAAUGACGAAAAUGCAUUCUGAGUCAUGGAGGAGGUGGAGAAACCUUGUGGCUUAGAAGCUUUGGACUCAAAGGUGCCUGUACUCCAAGACCUUGUCCACACAUAGCCAGGUAUCUGCUAAUGAUGUCUAAUAGCUAAUGAUGACAGCUUGGUAAAGCUGUACUACACAGAUGCUCUGAUAAAAAAACUCUACUUUGGCUGUUCUCGAGUUAGAAGCCAAUCAUUACUUACUGUUGACCAAAUAAUAUCUGCAAACAUACAUUUGUCCAUAUUCAUUUACUGUUGUAUCAUCGCUACAGCCUUCUUAUUAUCACAGAGGACUGAGACAAGUGGGGGAGGGAGGACAGGCAUUAUCUCUGCUGCUACAGUACAAGGAUUAUCCCUGACACACGGAUUUCCUUCUAGGCACCAUUAGCUUGGCCUCAUCCCAUUUGGUGUUUCCAACACCUGUGACCACCAUCCAUCUAGGCACAAGAAUUAUUACCACUGUAUUUUUUUCCAGGGUGUAUAAAUUAAUCAUGGAGAUCACAAGCAAACUACUUUAAAUUUCUGGGCUGUGACCAAGAAACACAUCCUCCCAAGGAUACUGAGGACCUAUGCAUCAUUAAAACAGGGUUGUGUUAUCAGACAGAGGAACAGUGCCAGCCUCUCCACUUACUGUACAGGACUGUGCCCUCUGCAUUUUCACUCUGUGCAUAAUAGCUUCUGUCAAUGGCUAAAUGGAGGCAGGUCCUUUAGUCUGACUUUGAACGUACAAUGAAACAUUGGAUAAAAUAAUGGUGAAGUAGUGGACAGCUGACUACAGGGAACACAAAUUAGCACCGAUUACCAAGUAGGGCAUGUACGCUAAUGCCUUUGGGGCUGCAGAGGUGUGUCAGAGUACCAAGGCAUGGAAUGGUAAUGAUUUCCUUAUCCACACAAUCCACAAACUCCCCCCUUGAGUGUCUUAAAGGGUCCCGGAAUCCACCUUCCUGACAGAAAUCUUUGGGUGCAGGUGAAGAUAUUACAGAAGUUAUACAUGUGGCAGUUCCUCCUCAUGUUGUGGUCUGAAGAGAUUAUUUUUGUUUUACAAGUUUCCAGAUCAUCUGAAUUCAUGCCCAGGUACAGACACGGUAAAAACAUGUUUUUCAAAAUCAGUUUGAACCACCUCAUCCAACUUUGAGACAUGUCCAGAUUUUAAGGUGGGGCAUUUUGCAUUUUUGUCCAAAAAUGAUCAAGACACAAGGUGCUGUAUAGUGCUGUAUACUCACUCGGCACCCUGAUAUAGAUGAGAUGCUAGACUCCAAACAUUUGCAUUCUUAACUGAGGAGGAAGAGAGGAAAGGGCUCUUCAUUCAGGCUUCGAUUUUCAGAUGGAUAAAGUCGCACUAUUGGUUUUCUCCAUACCAGCAAAUACAUUAGUCAGCAUGUCAGAUAAAGAAAGAUAUCAGGCAGAACUCCUUUCUAUUGAUCCAACCCUCUAUAUUUGAUUGAGACUCAUGACAGGACUGUGGGCAGGAUGACAAACAAAAAGGCAGAAGGUUAAAAAAGUUGAAACCAAAUCAAUAAUGAUGACUGACAAGAUGAAGCCUGGGUAAUCAGAGUCAUCCCCCCUCCAAUAAAUGAUGGAGAGCUGCAUAAAUGUACUUCACUCCCUAUCAUCUAUUGCUGCCAUCGUCCUUUUCCCCUCAUGACUGAUGAUUUUUUUCAUGUUUUGUUGCAUCAACUCUUCAGCAAACAUUUGAAACAAGAACUGAGACAGAGAGGGACUUCAAGAACAUUUUGUACCUAACUCUGAUUUACAGUUCUUAAUAUACUGACACAAAAUGUUGAUUUUAAAAUGUUAUAUGUACUGAUAAAAAUAGAGCCUCUGAUUCCGGUUGGUAGCGCCACAAUGACGAUGAAUCUAAAUCAUCAGAUUUUUAACUCACCUUUCACUGUGAAUGAGGUAAUGUCACAACUCCUAAACACUGUUUUUAUUAUCACUGCUCAUGCUUUUUCUUUAUAGGAACCAAUAAGUGUGAGGUGUUCUCACCUGCUCUGCUGCUCUUGCCUAGAUUACAGAAGAGGAUCUGAUAGUAAAAUGCCCAUGUUGUUUGACAAACCAGCAUAGCAUGCCUGAAUGACCUGCCGGACUCUGGCAUUGCUCUUGUAAUACUAAAUUGAUAACUGUCGUCAAGGGUUUUGGACUAAUCAGAAUCAAGUAUGCAGCUGGGUGUAUAGCGAGAUAGCUGGGUAACAAGCUUCAGUCACUUGAAAUGCCCCAAGAUACUGCAGACACUCUCCGGCUUUACCAUCAGGACCAGGACCACCUGAUUAUGACUGCUUGGGAAGGCAAAGGGGGGAAGGACCAAUACAACGUAUAAAGCCAUAACACUCACACCAACUUGAGUGUUUAGGUCAGGUACCUUAAAUUUGGAUGACAUGCUCUCCUGUGGCUCAAUGCAGUCUUAAUCACAUAAGCUCUCUGUAAUUUAUCCCCAAAGACUGGAAUAAAACAGCAUUCACUUCAAGACAUUCUUGGGGAAGACUGGUCAAACUAAGAAGUUCAGAACUAACGUCAUUGGUCCCUAAAGACGUGUUUGACGUGUGCAAUGUGUUUGACACUGUGUCUUACCAUUUCUGCUACCUUUUGUUUAUUAUGGUUCUAAAAGCCUUUGAAUUGCUCUCUAACUGGGAAAUAUUACGUUUUUUGAAUUGGAUUAAACCAAAUUAAAUUCUAUACCCUUGUUUGGAUUAUUCAUUGGUUAAAUCAUUUAGUAAACAUAUUUCAUUAAAAAGUGCCCAGAAAACAGCAUAAGCUCUAGCAGGGUCCUCUGUUCAUGGGUUGCUGCAGCUGAGAGGACUUUUUCUGUGUAAACUUUUCUCCGCCCCUGGUGUAAGCAUUUAGCCGACCUUUUGUCACAGGAUGUUGGCUCUGCUUAUUUGGGUGAAUAAAUUACUAAAGGUCCAUCUAUUUUUCUCAGUGUUUUUUUUUUUUUUUCUUUCUUUUUUCCCCUGAAGACUUCAUGUGGAGACUGCUUCUCCAUGGUGCUCAUUUGACUUCCUUUUCUUCUGGAGCCAAACAGUGGACCACUAGCGGAACAAAUCAAUGCUGGGCCGGGGGCGGGGCAAACGACAGGGCACUUUACACCCAGUAAAGCUCAUAAAAACAUUGCUUCACAACAUACACAUGCCCACACUUGUAAGUAGGGCUUACAAGCAAAACUACAUUUUUUUACACUUGGUUUUGUCAUUUUGAAGUCAAUCAAAUACAUAUGAAGUCUUAACAAACCUUUUUUUAAAUCUAGAGGGGAGCGAGCGUUUGCGGUCGCAGCUCCCACUUUGUGGAAUGCACUACCCCUCAGUGUGCGUACUGCAAAUAGUCCCUCUACCUUUAAAACCCAACUGAAGACGCACUUGUUCAUGUUAGCUUUUGAGUAUGAUAUUUGUAUUGGUUCUAUAUUCGUUUUUGUUUACAUUUAUAUGUUACAUAUCUUUUGUUGUUGCUGUUUGCUGUUGUAUGACUUGCUUUAAUUGCUACUGCUUCGUUAUUGUAAAGAUCUUUGGUAGGCCACUGGCUGUUUUAAAUGUGCUAUACAAAUAAACUGACAUUGACAUUGACAAACCAAGAGGACAACUAAAACAUUAAGCUACCCCGCCCUUCACAAUUAAACAACAAAAUUUAAAGUAGUCCAGCACCAUGGAUACCAACCACAUAAUUUUGACACCUAUUUUAACCAUUUUUAAUUAAUAAGGGCACAGUAGCCUACUGACACAUGUUCUCAUACAAAUAAAUAAUCAAUAUGAAGUACUAGGCCUACUCAUUUCUCUUUUAUAGGCCUUGCGAUCUGCAAACUCAAGAUGAACUGUAUGUCCAUUUUCUUUGCUCUAUCAUUCUCUAUGGACAACAUGGCAAGUCCGCUCAGUCUCUCCUGUCCUACUGUGCCCCUCAGGUGGUUUUUUAGUUAGUUUUUACUUGGAGAAUGAGCGCUCAGAGGUUGCAACCACUGGUGGAACAAAUCAAUGUUCCACCAGGGAGUGCCACCAUAGACUUUUUUUAAAUAUUCUGUGUAAUAUAUUUCUAAAGUUUGUCCACAGCUCUGUAGUGAUUGCUAAAGGCCUGUCACCAGAGGGUGCUGUUCUCACUGUGGUUUCACUCAGUGAGGAGACAGACGGUGUCCAUUCUUUAUACAGUCCAUGAGUGCCACCCAUCCAGCCCCUACAGAAGCUCCAAACCUGUAGAGGAGCAUUUACCCAAGCGGCACAAAGGCAUUCUUGUUAGAGACCUCCACUUUCUAGCCAGUGGAUGUGACGCAAAAUAAUCCUUGACCUCUGAAAAAAAAGGUUGCCAAGGGAACUGUUAUUCCUCCUAUCACUUAGAUCGUGCCUGAGUUGUGAGCUGCCAUGUAAAGUCACCUGUCAUGACAGACCUGACGGCACAUCUCUCGGGAUUCCUCUAUAUGCUAGAGAUCAAUUUAAAUGGGAGGGUAUUUUCUUGGGGCCUUAUAAUAUGAACUGUGUCUUAUUUGGGGAAAAACCUGUCACAGCUCAAACUGUAUUCCAGCUGUUUGGAUACAAAACACCUGAACCAGGACAUGACCUGACAGUCAAGCUCAGGGGGAGAUGUUUUACAGUAGUGGAUGUGGACAUGCUUCUGUCAAUCAUUGGAUUCUUGCCCAGUGCAUGUUAACUGGGACAAGGACAGCGGUCCAGUUAUAUCACCCGAUGGAGCUUUGACCAUAGUUGGACUUAACUGUGCAUGUAAACAUACCAAAUGUUACUGGGCUCAGUUUUUGCAGUCUGCCACUGCAAAGACAGGACAAAAUAUUAUUCACAAUAAAGAAAAAAAAAGGGAGUAAUGAACAUAGUAUAUAAUUUCUUUGACUUAUAUUUGUGAGCCUUAUUAUAAAAAAGAAAUUCAGUCUGAUCAGUAUGGUUCUCCUGUGUGCCAGUGUUCAGUCCAGUUAGUGUAUAUAGGGAAAGCUCGUUCUCAAGCAUGCACACAAAUCUCUGAAUCAUUCCCAGGUGAAACAGCAUAGCUAUUAAAGGUCCAUUAAUUUGUUUUAUUCAAAGGGCAUCGUAGUCAGGGUAAAAAUUAAGCACCUCCCUUAGGGGCUGAGGAAACAAGGCCCCUACCUGAGGCAAAGACUCCCACUCUCAUUAAGAUGAUGAUGAUCAUUAUGAUGCCAGAACAAGCACUUUCCUGGUCAAGGUUAGGAGUAUAAAGGCAGCUUCCUAUCCUUUCAAUUUUACAAAAAAAAAAAAAAGGUAAUAAAAAGUAUGAAAACACUGAGGGGAACUUUGCAAAUGAUUCACAGAGCCCACUAAAAAGGAGGGUGGACACCAGUUAUAGCCAUCUCUUGAAGAAAUGUUGGAUUUCACAGGUGUAAUUGAUAUUGCGCUGGUUUAUAACUCAUGUGAAUGAACUGUUAAGAAGAAACAAACCAAAACAAGAAGCUCAAACUGAGCAAACACACGUGCCCAAACAGCAUGUCUUUGAAAAACAGACCAGCAGGCUUUCUGGUAAUUGGAUUAUAACCAGGGACAGAUAAUAUUCUGAUAUUACGACUCCCAUGUAAAAAGCUUAACUGAGUGAUGCUACUAGCAUUGGCAUUAUGAUAAAAACUAAGCCUGACUCAAGUGGCCAGCCAGGACAUCAUCCUCUUAAAUUAACCUUGGCAUUUAAUAUCAUGAGUUAUUGCAUCGAAAACUGUCUUAACAAAGAGUGGCGUAGAGUAAAAACAUCAUCCAACAAUAAUUUAUCAUAGGCAUGUGUGUUAAAAUGAUCUGUGGUUGAUUGCUAAUCCCUUUGCAAAUAGUAAUCCCAUUUAUUGUAAUCUGAGUAAAUCACAGCAGGCCUCUUCAGCUUUUGUAUUCCUCCAUAUGCUUUCUUUGUCUUCAUGGAAAAACAGUACAGACAAUUUAAAGGCUGGUAAAAAUCAGUGUUUAUCUAUUUGAGCAGAAGCCUAAUACAAGCAAAAUAACAAGCCCACUUAUCACAGCACCAGCUUAAAGCUCCUGUGAGGACUUCACACUGAUGCUCUUUUAAUGAAAUACAAAAGCAAACAAGACCAGCAGUGAUAGAAUUAAUGAUUUUAAUUUUUGCUUUUAAUGCCUGGAAGCAGUGUCAGGGGGGGUAGGUGUCAACCAGACUGUGGAAGAAGCAGAUUUUUUACUUUCUACAUUUUCUACAUAAAAUAUCCACAUGAAUGAUAAAGUUGUAGGUCAAAAGUAUAGACUGUAUAUAAUAUGGACAACUUGGUUCCGUCCAUUCUUUAUACAGUCUAAAAUCAAAAGCCAGAAAGAUCAGAUUUUUUUUGUAGAAAGCAUGUUGAUAACAAGAUACGCAUAGACUGUUUUGUCCAAGAACUACGGCCAAGACAGCAUAUGUGUAUUAUCAACUACAGGAAAGACACUGACGUUGUUUUUAAUGUAUCAAGACUUAACCUUCACAAGUUAGCUGUAGUUUCUAACACCUACAAGGUAUUUGAAGCUAUUGCUUUUCAGUUGGUGAUAUCUCUGUGAGAGCAACAAGAUCACCAGAGGAGAAAACAAAGGUGUGUAAUAGUUGUUUUGGACAUCUUUUGCAAAUUCUGUAAAUAUACCUUUACAGUCCAUUAUGUAUCAUAAAUCAGAGAUAAAAAUAUCACUGGCACUGUCGAAAAGAAUCGAUCUGACAUUAAUCAACAAUCAGUAUUUGUGCACUACACUGCACACACAUGCUUUACCCUAACCUGCAAGUGUACUUAGCUGUGCUAUAAGGUUACCCUGAGUUAAUUGCUCUCUGGCUGAUGAACAUUAUUGCCUCAUGACGUGCAAUACAGGGUUUAUUAAAUGUUAACUCACUCAAGGAGUCAUGUUGGCACCUAAUCAUGGGGGUGUAGAGUUUGCAGUUCCCUUAAAGGCUGAGCAUUUUCAGCAUUAAUUCAAUGUUAUUUACUCAGCACCUCUGUACGGCGUUUCUUUUUUUUUUUUUUUUUUCCUUUUUCAACAGAAGAACAUCUUCACCUGGGAGCAUAACGGUUGCACUUUCACUGAGCACCACUGAUAAGCAGCUGUUUAUUAAAUGCAAAGCUAAAGAAGCCCACUUCUCUUUUUUUUUUUCAAACGUCUGUAUUUCGUGGCCUCAGACUGUUCAUCAGUUAAAGAGGUGAGGUGAACAACAAUGAGAGUGGAACAAUUUCCCUGCUGAGCAGUAAAUGAUACCAGGCUGUGGUAAUGUAUUGACUACAUUUGCAUUUCAGUGUAGCUAUUUGUCUUGAGUAGGGGGGGUAAUUAAAUCUUUAACCAUGUGUGAACCGCUGCUAAACAGCAAAAGUUAAAAAGAAAAAAGAAAAAAUCAGAAGUUGGAUGGGGAUGCAAAUGACGAUAAUGAUGAUGAUACUUUUUUAAUUUUGUCAGUUAUCCAUAGCUAGAAGGUGGAUGAGAGAGAAAUAAUCAUGGAGUCAGAUUCUUACUUCAACCUUGUAGAGGUGAAACUCUUAAUAAUCCCGAUGUUUUUUCACUCAUGGAGGAGAGUAACGAUGCAUCAUGAUCAGUGCACAAGUCUUUGCAGAUUAUUACUGCUCAUGCACACUCUGCUGAAGACUAUGAAUGUGAUAUUUUGUGGUUGGCGCUCUUACAGGGGUGCUUUGGUAUUUUUCAACCUGGGCCCUAUUUGCCCACAUGUUGGUGUGUUUGGUACAGAAGCGUAUUGCAUUCACUUCCACUUUGUUUCUCUGACUAUUUCUUUUUCUUCUGUUUUUGUGUACUAAUAUUUUUCCCCUCUUUCUGUUUUUUCUGACUAUUUUUUUUCUCCUGUUUUUUAUUUGUACUAAUAUUUUUUCCCCUCUUUCGGUUUUUCGGACUGUUUUUUUUUUCCUGACUAAGUGAGAUACUUCAAAAUCCUGCGAGAAUCUCAUACAACCAGAUAUCGGCAACCACUGCUGCUGCUCCAAAUCAGAGGAUUCUUCAGCUCCUAGAUAACUUCGGGGUCACUACGGGGUCAAUGAGAGUAAGGCAUGUUAUUCGUUAAACAUAGGGUAUGCAAAUCCUGAGGUGCCUGCACAAAGUAGACAAACUUAUGACGAGUCCACCUUUAUGACUUCAAAAAAAGAAUAUCUCCCAGUGUCUCAAACUCAAUAGAAAGUAAAACUUGAUUAAACUGAACAAAUUGGCCAUGUUUGCUUCCAAAAAUCGAGCAGAGGGGGAUGAAAGCGUCUAAUGAAAGUGUUCAAUGAUCAAGAUCCCGGAGAAUAGGAAAAACAAUUAGUCUGAAAAACAAAACAAACCGAAAAAAAAAAAAUGUUUGAAACACAGAAAAAUGUGUCCAAAAAUGUAUUCUGAAAAAAAAAGAAAAAAAAAAUCUGAAAAACAGAAAAUAAAAUAAAUAAAUAAAUAAAUUACUCUGAAAAAAAGAGCUUUUUUUUGGUUGUUGGUUUUUUGUGUUGUUUUUGUAAUUAGUUUUACGGUGAAUGCAAGACACUUCUGUAGUUUUAGACUGACCAGGAAAAAAAUAGAUAAAAUUUGUCCAGUAAUGAGGCAGCCACUAAACAGUUUGACAGAGUAAUUGCACAUCUUCACUGCAAAUGUCAAGAUCAUGCUUAUUAGUUUCGCAGAGUUCAGAUUUGGUAAUCUACCCCAACAUUUAUAAGAACUGCUCAUAUACUGGUCAUUUGUUUUGUCCAUCAUUGGAAUCAUGACGAUAAUCUAAAUUGAUUAUUUUGGCUGUAGCUGGACAGAAUAUGCUCCAGUCUGGAUGUGAGUGAUGAGUUCAGGCAGACACAAGAUGACAAACCAGAUAAUGUUGAAACAGAUUUGUCUGUGAUAGUAUAAAUAAGGGAAGCCAUCCAAGGAUAAUGGUCAUGGUAGACAUUUUUACCUCAGUUGUAAUUUCAUUUGAACAUUUGUACAGACCUUCUCAACAGACAUGACAAUUUGAUGUUACUGAACCACCUCAUGCAAGUAGGAAAUUCACAAAGGUAUUGAUCAAAACAACAAAAAAGCUAUUGAUUUUGUUCUUUUUCUAUAAAGAUUUUCUGUUGUCUGUCUGGCUGUUAGUAAAAGCUUUCAGAGAGGGAUAAGUGUUAUUGAAAAUGCACUCAAAAAGAUGAACUAAAUGCAUAAACCAACACCAAACAAUACUGUUAUUGCACAAUAAUAAGGCCACAAAGCAAUGGACCACCAGCCUUACUAUAUGUGAAGUGCUAAAAAUGAAGGUUAAAAAUGUUAUCUUGAAUUGAAAUUUGGAGCGUAUAGUCUUGUGGAUUUAUCGAGUGUUUGCAACAGACAGUCCUCGACUAAAAAAAAAAAUCUAAAAUGUAUCACAGACAAGUGUUAGAGAGUGUUAUCACAGUCAAGUAUAAAAGCAUGCUACGAAUACAGGAAAUUACACCAAAUACAGAAAAACAGCAAACGACUCAGAAAAUGACACAAUUAUUUUCUCAGCUGCAGCAGGAGUGAAGGAGAGUUCAGAGAGUCCCUUUGAGCUGAAUUUCAAACACAUUUUCGUAUUUUUGAAAACCAUAUAAAAAAACAUGCGUUACUCCUAUUCGUCAUAUGAACAACAUCUUCAUAUCAAAUUGUGCAUGCUUAGAAACGCGAUCCAAAGAGUAGCUCACUCAGAUGUCUGUCGCCGUCCUCUUUGCACUUUCAGAUGCAUGAAACGUUUCCUGAAUGUUGUCUUUUCAUUAAAACCUCUAAGACCAGUAGACUACAUGAAGUAACGAGGAGUAGAUGUCUUGAUUUAGGGGAUUAUUAAUCAGACGAGUUUAGACCUAACCACAGCUGAUAUUUGCUUGAUUCCUCCUGAGGCUCGGUAUUUCUCAAACUUUAAGAUUGAUAUGUCUUCCCACUGUUUAUACUCUCACAAAGCACAGCAGCAUUAAAUUAAAGGUGAAUAUAAUCUCUAAAGGCCUGAAUUUUGAGGAUCACUUUGGUGCACCAGGUACCCACUCUCUGGCAUGUGAUCUCUGCAUUGUCAACAGACACAGAUGUACUCUGCAGAAUGAAAUGCCUUCUCCCUGGAUGUCACCUUCAGGUAAAGUUAUUACAGCUGUCGAAUCCUAAGUAUUUUUCUUUUUACUUUUUUUUUCUGUUUCUCAUCAGUUCAGCAAAACUCCAGCAGGAAGUCGAGGACACAAUGUUGGUGAGAGAGGGGCAAGUUGUGGUUCUGCUCUGCGGUCCUCCACCCCAUUACAGAGGUACAGUCCUAACUCUUUUCUGCAUUGUUCUCUUGAAUCUCACUCUUGCCUGCCUCAGCAAUCUUUAUUGUUCCUCUCUCUGCUGCUUAUUAUCUCCCUGUAACACCCCUGUCUCCAUUGUUUUUAUACCCUCCCACCUCCUCUUUGUGCUGCUCUCCCUUUCAAACUCUGACACUGUUUUCCACUCACUUCUCCUUAUCUGUCAGACAAGGAACUUUUUAUGUCCAGCCACCGCUCUACCUGCCUAGCCCAUGCCUUCACAUCUAUAGUUCAUAGCCUCACACUUUUUACCCUUGAGCUCACAUUUCUCGCCCAUAUGAUCUGUGACCACGCUGUCAUCUAUAAAGUCUCCAGGGCUCCACUUCCUCAGCCGUCGUUCUUUUCUCUCUCUCUCUCUCUUUCUCUCUCUCUCUCUCUCUCUUUUUCUCUCUCUCUCUCCUGCUAUGGACAGGUUAUCUUUGGGUAAUAAAGGCUGCUUGCGGCUGCUGUGGCCGCAGGAGCAUUUAUCCGGUGGAACGGCAGCAGGUCGGCUCAUGUGUCUGUGUGCAGCUGAUUAGCAGACCCUCAAAGUGGUCUGCACUCCUGCAGCCAUGCGAUGCCCACCAGCACAAUUUCACGCCAGCAUACCAGCCUUUCUGCACUCCUCUGUUGUGGGCUGAAACCUGCAGCCAUGUGGGGUUUCCACACUUUAACAAUUUACCCUCCAGUGCCAACACCCCCACCCCCUACCCCCCUCCUAAGCCCUUUAAAAAGCCUCCACCUCUUCAUUUUUUGAUGGGAUUUACUCCCCCCCAAAAAAAAGGAAAAUUGUAUUUCUCUUUAACACAAAGUUGAAAUUUCUCAAAGCUUUUUAAUGCUUUCUUUUGCUCCACUUGAGUAAUGUACCUUGAUCAAAGAGGAGUCAUCUUGAGCUUCUUUGAGCAAUCAAUAGAUAAGUGGUCUAUGCUGAGAGUCAGACUCUGUCAGAGGACACGAGAUUAUGUGCCUGUAAGUCCUCUGUUGCUCUGAGACUGAAGCUCUUAACCAGACUCAGUCUCUGAUAGUCCCUAAUCAUGAAAGGUCUGUCGGUCUCUGACUUGACUUCCUUUUUAAUGAUUUUAAUUCACUGUUCUCCCUCAAGGAAACUUGUUGGAUUUUUUCAGUCAGGACGGCUGUCUGCACAAUGUCGUGUCUGGAGGAGAAGGCUGCUCUAAGUUCACUUUGUAAUCCCUGCGGACCAUCUUUCCUUUCUCUGUUUUACAUGAGGACAUUGACACUCUUAUCAGACCUAUGUAUUAUUUAUUUGAUAUGGACCCUGUGUGAUAAGAGUAAGAGAAAAAGUUGGAGAUUUCCUUUUAAACGUGCAAUACAGAAAACCAUUAUUAUUUGAUCAAACCAGGAAAUAAUAAGCACGUCUCUGACCUUUCAUCUGCACUGUCACAAUUUCAGCGGCUCAAUAAUAACAAUAAACACAAUGUCUGAAUUAUUCUGUGCUUUUGUUAGAGUUAACAAAAAGACCAAAAUCCAAACUGUCAAACAGCCUGUGUUAAGAAAAGCCCGGCGUUGUUGUUUGGUGAGGAAAUGUUAUUUGAAGAACUAAUAAGACAAAGAAACAUGAUCCAGAACAGCAGGCUUCAGUAAAAGCUGUGAUAUUGCUUUAGCUUGUGUGUCAAUGCAGUAGUGAGGUUAUAUCAGAUAUCAGUAAAUUCCAGUUUAGAUCCCAGUUAUCAAAAAACUCUGUCAAAUGUUUAACUGUAUUCUACACAGAGUGGAAGAAAGUAGACAAAAGACUUUGAGAUGAAACUAAUUACUCAUGAGAAUGAAGUUGUGAUAAAAUAAUUACUCUCAAGAAUAAAGUCAUAAUAGAACCGUUACUUACAAGAAUAAAGUCAGAAAGUAAAUGAAGUCAUAAAGCUACUUUACUGGAGGAGGAAAUGGCUGGAACUGGUCAACUGCAGAGUUGUUAGUGGGUGCAUCAGCAGGACAUUCAGAGAGCUUUUGUGGUUCCUCAAGAAACAAUCCAACUGAUAAUCAUUUCUGUGAUUCAGAGGGAGUCAAGCUCCAACCCACGUCUGUCCCUGAUGCCAGCAGCAACCUACACCUUCAGAGGCACCACCACCUUAUGGCAUAUAGAUUCACACGAUAAACCAAAGCCCAAUGCUAACGCUAUAAACGGCUGCAUUGACAGAUUUUGCCUCCACAAAGCCAUUUCCAGCUCCCCCCAUAAGUAACGAUUUUAUUAUUAGAACUUUAUUCUUGUAAUGACUUUAUUUUGACUUUAUUCAAGUAAUUACUUUAUUCCAAAAUUUUUUUUGUGAGUAAUUACUUUAUCAUAACCCAAUUCUCAUCAGUAAUUGCUUUAUCACGACUUAAUUCUCAUGAGUAGUUACUUUAUCAAGACUUAAUUCCAGUGAGAAAUUACUUUAUGACUUAAUUCUCGUAAUUAUUUUUAUCAAGACUUCAUUCUCAUGAGUAAUUACUACAUCAUGACUUAAUUCUCGUGAUUAAUUACUUUCUCACGAUAUUAUUUUUGUGAGUAAUUACUUUGAACCCUUAGUCUUUUUCCUUAUGUGGUCCUUAUACUCUGUUGUAAUAUUGUGUAUUUUUUUAAUCUUUUGUUUCACAUGUAACAAAAGUAGUUGUCUCAUACUAUGAUUAAACUAAUAUAAAAACACUUCAAAUGUUAGUAAAAGCUGAGUUGUUUUGUCUUGUUGUUCCUUCUCCCAGGGUAGGGGACAUUUGUGUACAGCUUAAGCUGAGUCCAUGUGUGUGUGUGUAGAGAGAGGAAUAUGAAGACCAGUACACCAGCGUUCAGCUUGCCAAACCCUGUGUCAGUGUGAAGAGACUGUUAGCAUUCUCAGCUCACCUCUGCUGCCCCGUGGUUAUCCUGUGCACUGAACUGAUUACUUGUCUAGAGCAUGACUCUGUUUUUGCUUUUGUAAGAGCAAAGUUUCUGGCCCAUUCAGAAGCUUCUGAACUCUACAGGGUUAUGUUAUACACCUGCUCUCUGCAUGAAGAUACAUAUUUACAUAUUUCCACUCAACUGACCUACUCCUCUGACAGAGAUACAUGAAGGCACAUAAAGCAAGGAGCUAGCCAUAUGCAUUUAACAUGUCCCGAACCCCACCUGAACUAAUUAUACAGUCGAGCGUAGGAUUGAGAUGAUGCAGGUGAGAAAUUCAAAUUCAUCCACCCACCAAGCCAAAGGCUGUUGUAGGCCAGAUGCCAUCAUCAUGGUUGUUUGCCCUGUGCCAAAGUCAAAAAGGCAAAUCCCUUUAAUCCAGCAUGAAUAACAGGGCAGACAAUGUCCAUGUCUAAUGUUUUCCUGAUGUGAUUUCCUACAAUUCUUCAGUUGUGAUGGAUGACUAUCAGCCAGGUUUUGGGGUUUCCUUGUCCCCUUUCAGUGAUAAAUAGUCUAAAGGUCUAUCUUGGGUCUGCUGCCAUCUUAGUUUCUAACCUACAGGGCAAUCAAACAGGAAAGGACUUUUUCUUAUGGUCUGUUCCAGAGGUCCCAGCUGAUAUAAGUGUUUAAAUCUGCAGAUCCAUUUACUUGAAAUUAGUAUCACAAGAGAUGGAGUUCAAUGAACUGGUUUCACUGGGUAAUCUUGCGGUGAUGUUGAACAACUUGGAGGCAGACACAUCUAGCUGUAGGUGUUCCUAUUCCUGUUCCCCUGACCUUGGUUAAUUAGGACAUGAUCUGCCAUUCAUUUUACUGCAUUAACAACAUUUGACAAUUUUUUAAAUUUCUUCUUGGGGAUAAAUAAAAUCCCUCUUAUCUUAUAUUUAUUGUAGAAAUUUACUUGUGUGUUUUUCCCUCCAUUACCACUUAAGCCACUGUCCUCUUCACCAGUUAGUACCUGGCAGCAGCUUCCAGAGACCCCUGGGCUUGCCAACCUCCAAAGACCUUCUACUUCAGGCUGACUGCCCCCUCACCUUCACAAGUGUCCACCAGCAGGUUCUGAGGUUACUGCCAUAACAGGAACGAUGAUCUCCAGGCCACAACCUCUGGACCUGGACCAUGUUCAAGCCUCUACUGUAUCCCUGUUUCCCGCUCUAGCCUCUGUCCUGUGGACUCAGAAUACAAAGUUCAUAGAUUAUGGACCCACAUAGAUUACUUUUAAGAUGAG